This 201-nucleotide long non-coding RNA is filed under the name Elaeis guineensis (African oil palm). RNAcentral describes it as "long non-coding RNA (EGUI_LNC016692)". The record is from RNAcentral. Lineage: Eukaryota; Viridiplantae; Streptophyta; Magnoliopsida; Arecales; Arecaceae.
GUCUAAAAAAAAUAUUGCAAGAUUACCAAUGUAGUGAUAAUCUGGAUAGCCAUCCUUCUCCUUGGUAAUCUAGAUUACCUCAUAAGAGAUAAUCUGGAUUACCUGAUAAUCGAGAUUACCAAUCCAAAAAGCAUACCAAAUAUGAUAAUCUGGUGGGAUCUUUUUAAAUUGCCAGCAAAGCUACCAAACGCAAUUUUAGUG